RNAcentral lists this ribosomal RNA (1033 nucleotides) under uncultured organism. RNAcentral describes it as "bacterial SSU rRNA". It matches the Rfam family "Bacterial small subunit ribosomal RNA", at positions 47 to 1101 of the family's 1533-position model. The record is from RNAcentral.
CCUAAUACAUGCAAGUCGAGCGAUGAGGCUCCUUCGGGAGUACAUCGGCGGCGAACGGGUGAGUAACACGUAGGUGACUUGCCCCGAAGAUGGGGAUAACCUCUGGAAACGGGGGCUAAUACCCAAUGUGCUCGGUGAUUCGGUUGAUCGAGUAAGGCUCCGGCGCUUCGGGAGAGGCCUGCGGCCCAUCAGCUAGUUGGUAGGGUAACGGCCUACCAAGGCAGAGACGGGUAGGGGGCGUGAGAGCGCGGACCCCCACACUGGCACUGCGACACGGGCCAGACUCCUACGGGAGGCAGCAGUAAGGAAUAUUGCGCAAUGGACGAAAGUCAGACGCAGCGACGCCGCGUGGGCGAUGAAGGCCUUCGGGUUGUAAAGCCCUUUUAUGGGGGAAGAGAAAAAGGACGGUACCCCAUGAAUAAGUCCCGGCUAACUACGUGCCAGCAGCCGCGGUAAAACGUAGGGGACAAGCGUUAUCCGGAUUCACUGGGCGUAAAGAGCGUUGAGGCGGUUCCGUAAGUUGGGCGUGAAAGCUCCGGGCUUAACCCGGAGAUGUCGUUCAAUACUGCGGGGCUUGAGGACAGCAGAGGAAGGUGGAAUUCCCGGUGUAGUGGUGAAAUGCGUAGAUAUCGGGAGGAACACCCGUGGCGAAGGCGGCCUUCUGGGCUGUUCCUGACGCUGAAGGCGAAAGCUAGGGGAGCGAACGGGAUUAGAUACCCCGGUAGUCCUAGCUGUAAACGAUGGACGCUGGGUGUGGGGGGUGUAAAUUCCCUCUGUGCCGAAGCAAACGCGUUAAGCAUCCCGCCUGGGGACUACGGCCGCAAGGCUAAAACUCAAACGAAUUGACGGGGGCCCGCACAAGCAGCGGAGCGUGUGGUUUAAUUCGAUGCUACACGAAGAACCUUACCUGGGUUUGACAUGCACGUGGUAGGGAACCGAAAGGGGACCGACCUUCGGGAGCGUGCACAGGUGCUGCAUGGCUGUCGUCAGCUCGUGCCGUGAGGUGUCGGGUUAAGUCCCGUAACGAGCGCAA